Molecule: ribosomal RNA, 336 nt
Filed under: Pseudorimula midatlantica
Lineage: Eukaryota; Metazoa; Mollusca; Gastropoda; Lepetellida; Lepetodrilidae
Description: SSU rRNA
Rfam family: Eukaryotic small subunit ribosomal RNA
Source: RNAcentral
AUGCAUGUCUUAGUACAAACUCUAGCACAGUGAAACUGCGAAUGGCUCAUUAGAUCAGUUAUGGUUCCUUAGACGAUACAAUCCUACUUGGAUAACUGUGGUAAUUCUAGAGCUAAUACAUGCACUCUAGCUCCGACCCUUUCGCGAGGGGAAGAGCGCGUUUAUCAGUUCGAAGCCAGCCGGGUUGCAAGACUCGACACUUUGGUGACUCUGGAUAACUCUAGCGGAUCGCACGGUCUCGAACCGGCGACGCGUCUAUCAAGUGUCUGCCCUAUCAUACUGUCGAUGGUAAGUGCUAUGCUUACCAUGGUGAUAACGGGUAACGGGGAAUCAGGG